AACUACAAGGAUUCCCCUAGUAACGGCGAGUGAAGCGGGAAAAGCUCAAAUUUGUAAUCUGGCACCUUCGGUGUCCGAGUUGUAAUCUCGAGAAGUAUUUUCCGCGUUGGACCGCACAUAAGUCUGUUGGAAUACAGCGUCAUAGUGGUGAGAACCCCGUAUAUGGUGCGGAUGCUCAAUGCUUUGUGAUAUACUUUCGAAGAGUCGAGUUGUUUGGGAAUGCAGCUCAAAUUGGGUGGUAAAUUCCAUCUAAAGCUAAAUAUUGGCGAGAGACCGAUAGCGAACAAGUACCGUGAGGGAAAGAUGAAAAGCACUUUGGAAAGAGAGUUAACAGUACGUGAAAUUGUUGGAAGGGAAACGCUUGAAGUCAGACUUGCAUUUUGGAGUUCAGCCGCAAGGUGUAUUCUUCGAUUCGCAGGCCAGCAUCAGUUUUCGGGGGUGGAAAAGCGCGGUUUGAAGGUAGCAGUCUCGGCUGUGUUAUAGCUUUCCGCUGGAUUCACUUUUGGGGACUGAGGAACGCAGUACGCUUUUUGCAAGACUUUCGAGUUUUUCGUACUUAGGAUGCUGGUGGAAUGGCUUUAAACGAC
This 587-nucleotide ribosomal RNA is filed under the name Liroa emodensis. RNAcentral's name for it is "eukaryotic LSU rRNA". It matches the Rfam family "Eukaryotic large subunit ribosomal RNA", at positions 63 to 648 of the family's 3401-position model. The record is from RNAcentral. Lineage: Eukaryota; Fungi; Basidiomycota; Microbotryomycetes; Microbotryales; Microbotryaceae.